Molecule: ribosomal RNA, 290 nt
Filed under: uncultured bacterium
Lineage: Bacteria
Description: partial 16S ribosomal RNA
Rfam family: Bacterial small subunit ribosomal RNA
Source: RNAcentral
AGAACGAACGCUGGCGGCGCGCCUAAUACAUGCAAGUCGAGCGAGAAGACGUAGCAAUACGUUUGUAAAGCGGCGAACGGGUGAGGAAUACAUGGGCAACCUACCCUCGAGUGGGGGAUAACGUAGCCGAAAGGUUAGCUAAUACCGCGUACGCUCCUUGGACUUCGGUUCAGGGAGGAAAGCGAUACCGUGGGUAUCGCGCUCUUGGAUGGGCUCAUGUCCUAUCAGCUUGUUGGNGAGGUAACGGCUCACCAAGGCUUCGACGGGUAGCUGGUCUGAGAGGACGACCA